This 479-nucleotide ribosomal RNA is filed under the name uncultured bacterium. RNAcentral describes it as "SSU rRNA". It matches the Rfam family "Bacterial small subunit ribosomal RNA", at positions 26 to 518 of the family's 1533-position model. The record is from RNAcentral.
AGGAUAAACGCUGGCGGCGGUGCCUAACGACGAUGCAAGUCGAACGCGCUUUCGGGCUUCGGUGCGAGAGCGAGUGGCGGACGGGUGAGUAACACAUGGGUACCUACCUUGGAGUGAGGGAUACCGGCGAGAAAUCGCCGACAAUACCGCAUAGGCUUCUUCACAAGGGAAGCAAAGUGACGCGAGUCACGCUUUGAGAUGGGCCUGUGGCCGAUUAGCUAGUUGGGGGGGUAACGGCUUCCCAAGGCGACGAUCGGUAGCUGGUCUGAGAGGACGAUCAGCCACACUGGGAUUGAGAACGGCCCAGACUCCUACGGGGGGCAGCAGUGAGGAAUUUUCCGCAAUGGAGGCAACUCUGACGGAGCAACGCCGCGUGCAGGAGGAAGGUUUUCGGAUCGUAAACUGCUUUUCUCGGGGACGAGGCAAGGGACGGUACCCGAGGAAGGAACGCCCCGGGCUAACUACGUGCCAGCAGCCGC